UUUUCCGGUUGAUCCUGCCGGAGGCCAUUGCUAUCGGAGUUCGAUUUAGCCAUGCUAGUCGCACGGGUUUAGACCCGUGGCGAAAAGCUCAGUAACACGUGGCCAAACUACCCUAUGGAUCGGAAUACCCUCGGGAAACUGAGGUCAAUUCCGAAUACCGCUCCUGCACUGGGAUGUGCGGAGCAAGAAAUGCUUCGGCGCUGACGGGACAUUGUCCCGUUGUGCCACGAGACGCUUCGCGUCUCGUCCGCGCCAUAGGAUGUGGCUGCGGCCGAUUAGGUUGACGGUGGGGUAACGGCCCACCGUGCCCAUAAUCGGUACGGGUUGUGAGAGCAAGAGCCCGGAGACGGUAUCUGAGACAAGAUACCGGGCCCUACGGGGCGCAGCAGGCGCGAAACCUUUACACUGCACGACAGUGCGAUAAGGGAACUCCGAGUGCGGAGGCAUAGAGCCUUCGCUUUUGUACACCGUAAGGUGGUGCACGAAUAAGGGCUGGGCAAGACCGGUGCCAGCCGCCGCGGUAAUACCGGCAGCCCAAGUGAUGGCCGAUAUUAUUGGGCCUAAAGCGUCCGUAGCUGGCCGGACAAGUCCGUUGGGAAAUCCGCGCGCUCAACGCGCGGGCGUCCAGCGGAAACUGUCCGGCUUGGGGCCGGAAGACCUGAGGGGUACGUCCGGGGUAGGAGUGAAAUCCUGUAAUCUCGGACGGACCGUCUGUGGCGAAAGCGCCUCAGGAAGACGGACCCGACAGUGAGGGACGAAAGCCAGGGUCUCGAACCGGAUUAGAUACCCGGGUAGUCCUGGCUGUAAACGAUGUCCGCUAGGUGUGACGCAGGCUACGAGCCUGCGCUGUGCCGUAGGGAAGCCGUGAAGCGGACCGCCUGGGAAGUACGUCUGCAAGGAUGAAACUUAAAGGAAUUGGCGGGGGAGCACUACAACCGGAGGAGCCUGCGGUUUAAUUGGACUCAACGCCGGACAUCUCACCAGCUCCGACAGCAGUAAUGACGGUCAGGUUGAUGACCUUACCCGAUGCUGCUGAAAGGAAGUGCAUGGCCGCCGUCAGCUCGUACCGUGAGGCGUCCUGGUAAGUCAGGCAACGAGCGAA
RNAcentral lists this ribosomal RNA (1102 nucleotides) under uncultured haloarchaeon. Its description in RNAcentral is "bacterial SSU rRNA". It matches the Rfam family "Archaeal small subunit ribosomal RNA", at positions 1 to 1049 of the family's 1478-position model. Lineage: Archaea; Methanobacteriati; Methanobacteriota; Halobacteria; Halobacteriales; Halobacteriaceae. The record is from RNAcentral.